This 122-nucleotide microRNA precursor is filed under the name Triticum aestivum (bread wheat). Its description in RNAcentral is "miR9655 stem-loop (tae-MIR9655)". Lineage: Eukaryota; Viridiplantae; Streptophyta; Magnoliopsida; Poales; Poaceae. The record is from miRBase by way of RNAcentral.
CGGGUGAUCCGUCUCAGGCGUCGGCUACUUCCUUUCCCUUGCCAGUGCGCCAUGCCGGCGGGUGCACCCCUCUUGCACAGGCAAGGGAAGGAAGUAGCCAACGUCUUGGGCGGAUCUAGCAU